CCCCUGUACAUCUUUGGGGUCCCCCCAGCAUAUCCUUUGGGGUUUCUCCUUAAGGGGGGUCCCAUUUAGGCCCAUUGGGAUGGCUUUGGGGUCUCAGUUCCUCCCCCAUCUCCUCCCUGACCCCCCCAUAGAUCCUUUGGGGUCCCCCCUGUAGGUCUUUUGGGGUCCCUCCUUAAGGGAAUGCCCCUAUUGGGCCCAUUGGGAUGGCUUUGGGGUCUCAGUUCCUCCCUCAUCCCCUCCCUGACCCCCCC
RNAcentral lists this long non-coding RNA (251 nucleotides) under Gallus gallus (chicken). The record is from RNAcentral. Lineage: Eukaryota; Metazoa; Chordata; Aves; Galliformes; Phasianidae.